CCUACGGGAGGCUGCAGUGGGGAAUAUUGCACAAUGGGGGAAACCCUGAUGCAGCAACGCCGCGUGAAGGAAGACGGUUUUCGGAUUGUACACUUCUGUUCUUAGUGAAGAAUAAUGACGGUAGCUAAGGAGCAAGCCACGGCUAACUACGUGCCCGCAGCCGCGGUAAUACGUCGGUGGCAAGCGUUGUCCGGAAUUACUGGGUGUCAAGGGAGCGCAGGCGGGAAGCCAAGUCAGAUGUGAAAACUACGGGCUUAACGUGUGGACUGCAGUUGAAACUGGUUUGCUGGAGUGACGUAGAGGUAGGCGGAAUUCCGAGUGUAGCGGUGAAAUGCGUAGAUAUUAGGAGGAACAUCAGUGGCGAAGGCGACCAUCUGG
RNAcentral lists this ribosomal RNA (378 nucleotides) under uncultured bacterium. RNAcentral describes it as "partial 16S ribosomal RNA". It matches the Rfam family "Bacterial small subunit ribosomal RNA", at positions 338 to 732 of the family's 1533-position model. The record is from RNAcentral.